CUGCAAUACCCCCUGUGGUGACGAAUAGCCAUACCCUAGUGGUGGUGGUUGGAGAUACACAUAUCCUAGUGGUGGCUACGGCGGGUAUCCACCAUAAUAGGGUAGAAGUAGUUAUGGGUGUCCAUAUCUUAUCGGAGGAGGAGAAUAUCUUGCAGGUAGCGGGGGCGGGGUGGAUAUUGCUCAUUUCUUUUAGCAAUUGGAUAAGGAGGAUACCCUACAGGUGGUGGUAAAGGAUAUAUAGAUUGGGUCCCGCCAUCAUCUGAUUUGUCGAAAAAGCAAUGACAGGCUUAUCAUCUUCAAUUUUUGUUGCAACUGGUGGUGCCACCUCAAAUCCAUCGACAACUUUCUCAGUAAACCAGUACGUCCCUUAGGCUUCCUACUAGAUUUCCUUACUUGAUAACUCACAAACUUCUGUUGCUUCCCAUCGCCUCAUCCAUCAGUUGAUGCGCGGAGAUUCAAGAUGCUCUUUUAAUGGCACAUGCACUUCGCCAACAUUUUUAUCCCCCAUGCACAUUGACACACAAGCUUGAUCACAAGAUUCAGGUAGUUUUGCUGGAGCGCCGCAUUCUCCACUAUGAACUUCAUAGGAAAAUUUCAAGUGGGAUUACUGUCUCCAUCGUUGUCCAUUGGCAUUUUGUCUUCUAUUUCGAUUUUCUUGUCUCCGUCGGAGAUUAAAACUACAACAUAGACAUCCAUUUUCAUGAUGAGGUUGACUUUGUUUAGAUUCCUUGCCCACAUAACAUAAUUUACAAUAUAUGGUAACCCAUUUUGAUGAUUUUAAUGAACUAAAUAAACCAAAGAAAUUGUUAUGCAAGAAGCAAAAUACCAGAAUCGCUCUGAUAUCAAUUUGUUGAG
RNAcentral lists this long non-coding RNA (855 nucleotides) under Olea europaea subsp. europaea. The record is from RNAcentral. Lineage: Eukaryota; Viridiplantae; Streptophyta; Magnoliopsida; Lamiales; Oleaceae.